AGCUUUGCACAGUGGCAGUAUUGUAGCCAAUGAAGUUUAUCCGAGGCACAAUUAUUGUUAAUUAAAAAGAUUUUCUUUUGCUGGGGUUGGGGCGGGGGGGGGGCAGUAAAAUGUAAAAUCUUGAGUCUGAAUGUAGU
Molecule: small nuclear RNA, 137 nt
Organism: Zalophus californianus (California sea lion)
Lineage: Eukaryota; Metazoa; Chordata; Mammalia; Carnivora; Otariidae
Gene: U4
Rfam family: U4 spliceosomal RNA
About the family: U4 small nuclear RNA (U4 snRNA) is a component of the major U2-dependent spliceosome.
Source: Ensembl